AGCGAACGCUGGCGGCAGGCUUAACACAUGCAAGUCGAGCGCCGUAGCAAUACGGAGCGGCAGACGGGUGAGUAACGCGUGGGAACGUACCUUUGGUUCGGAACAACACAGGGAAACUUGUGCUAAUACCGAAUAAGCCCUUACGGGGAAAGAUUUAUCGCCGAAAGAUCGGCCCGCGUCUGAUUAGCUUGUUGGUGAGGUAACGGCUCACCAAGGCGACGAUCAGUAGCUGGUCUGAGAGGAUGAUCAGCCACAUUGGGACUGAGACACGGCCCAAACUCCUACGGGAGGCAGCAGUGGGGAAUAUUGGACAAUGGGCGCAAGCCUGAUCCAGCCAAGCCGCGUGAGUGAUGAAGGCCCUAGGGUUGUAAAGCUCUUUUGUGCGGGAAGAUAAUGACGGUACCGCAAGAAUAAGCCCCGGCUAACUUCGUGCCAGCAGCCGCGGUAAU
This 449-nucleotide ribosomal RNA is filed under the name uncultured bacterium. Its description in RNAcentral is "bacterial SSU rRNA". It matches the Rfam family "Bacterial small subunit ribosomal RNA", at positions 29 to 524 of the family's 1533-position model. The record is from RNAcentral.